This 486-nucleotide ribosomal RNA is filed under the name uncultured Mycoplasmatota bacterium. Its description in RNAcentral is "bacterial SSU rRNA". It matches the Rfam family "Bacterial small subunit ribosomal RNA", at positions 371 to 863 of the family's 1533-position model. Lineage: Bacteria; Bacillati; Mycoplasmatota. The record is from RNAcentral.
AUGGAGGAAACUCUGACCGAGCAACGCCGCGUGAAUGACGAAGUACUUCGGUAUGUAAAGUUCUUUUAUCAAGGAAGAAUGACUCGUGGAAAAACGAGAGUGACGGUACAAGAUGAAUAAGCCCCGGCUCACUAUGUGCCAGCGCCCGCGGUAAUACAUAGGGGGCAGGGGUUAUCCGGAAUUAUUGGGCGUAAAGGGUGCGUAGGCGGACGUUUAAGGCUUUGGUGUAAGUGCAAGGCUCAACCUUGUGAUGCUAAGGAAACUGGAUGACUUGAGUGUGAUAGAGGUAAGUGGAAUUCCAUGUGUAGCGGUAAAAUGCGUAAAUAUAUGGAGGAACACCAGUGGCGAAGGCGGCUUACUGGGUCACAACUGACGCUGAGGCACGAAAGCGUGGGGAGCAAACAGGAUUAGAUACCCUGGUAGUCCACGCCCUAAACGAUAAGUACUAAGUGUUGGAGAAAUUCAAUGCUGUAGUUAACGCAAUAA